UACAGAGGGGGCAAGCGUUGUUCGGAAUUACUGGGCGUAAAGGGCGCGUAGGCGGCCUUCUAAGUCGAACGUGAAAUCCCCGGGCUCAACCCGGGAACUGCGUCCGAUACUGGAGGGCUUGAAUCCGGGAGAGGGAUGUGGAAUUCCAGGUAUAGCGGUGAAAUGCGUAGAUAUCUGGAGGAACACCGGUGGCGAAGGCGACAUCCUGGACCGGUAUUGACGCUGAGGCGCGAAAGCCAGGGGAGCAAACGGG
This 253-nucleotide ribosomal RNA is filed under the name uncultured bacterium. Its description in RNAcentral is "partial 16S ribosomal RNA". It matches the Rfam family "Bacterial small subunit ribosomal RNA", at positions 524 to 776 of the family's 1533-position model. The record is from RNAcentral.